ACGCUCGACACCUACAGGAGGCAGCAGUGGGGAAUAUUGCACAAUGGGGGAAACCCUGAUGCAGCGACGCCGCGUGAGCGAAGAAGUAUCUCGGUAUGUAAAGCUCUAUCAGCAGGGAAGAAGAUGACGGUACCUGACUAAGAAGCACCGGCUAAAUACGUGCCAGCAGCCGACGGUAAUCUGAGGCGGGCUGGACGAAGGC
Molecule: ribosomal RNA, 202 nt
Filed under: uncultured bacterium
Lineage: Bacteria
Description: partial 16S ribosomal RNA
Rfam family: Bacterial small subunit ribosomal RNA
Source: RNAcentral